UAGGGAAUCUUCCACAAUGGACGCAAGUCUGAUGGAGCAACGCCGCGUGAGAGAAGAAGGUUUUCGGAUCGUAAAGCUCUGUUGUUGGUGAAGAAGGAUAGAGGCAGUAACUGGUCUUUAUGUGACGGUAAUCAACCAGAAAGUCACGGCUAACUACGUGCCAGCAGCCGCGGUAAUACGUAGGUGGCAAGCGUUGUCCGGAUUUAUUGGGCGUAAAGCGAGCGCAGGCGGAAUGAUAAGUCUGAUGUGAAAGCCCACGGCUCAACCGUGGAACUGCAUCGGAAACUGUCAUUCUUGAGCGCAGAAGAGGAGAGUGGAAUUCCAUGUGUAGCGGUGGAAUGCGUAGAUAUAUGGAAGAACACCAGUGGCGAAGGCGGCUCUCUGGUCUGCAACUGACGCUGAGGCUCGAAAGCAUGGGUAGCGAACAGG
Molecule: ribosomal RNA, 429 nt
Filed under: bacterium
Lineage: Bacteria
Description: partial 16S ribosomal RNA
Rfam family: Bacterial small subunit ribosomal RNA
Source: RNAcentral